UACAGAGGUGGCAAGCGUUGUUCGGAAUUACUGGGCGUAAAGGGCGCGUAGGCGGUUCGAUAAGUCCCGUGUGAAAGCCCCCGGCUCAACUGGGGAACUGCACGGGAAACUGACGGACUUGAGUUCGGGAGAGGGAAGCGGAAUUCCGGGUGUAGCGGUGAAAUGCGUAGAUAUCCGGAGGAACACCGGUGGCGAAGGCGGCUUCCUGGACCGACACUGACGCUGAGGCGCGAAGGCUAGGGGAGCGAACGGG
This 253-nucleotide ribosomal RNA is filed under the name uncultured bacterium. Its description in RNAcentral is "partial 16S ribosomal RNA". It matches the Rfam family "Bacterial small subunit ribosomal RNA", at positions 524 to 776 of the family's 1533-position model. The record is from RNAcentral.